This 253-nucleotide ribosomal RNA is filed under the name uncultured bacterium. Its description in RNAcentral is "partial 16S ribosomal RNA". It matches the Rfam family "Bacterial small subunit ribosomal RNA", at positions 524 to 776 of the family's 1533-position model. The record is from RNAcentral.
UACGUAGGGCGCAAGCGUUGUCCGGAAUUAUUGGGCGUAAAGAGCUCGUAGGCGGCUUGUCACGUCGAUUGUGGAAGCCCGAGGCUUAACCUCGGGUCUGCAGUCGAUACGGGCUAGCUAGAGUGUGGUAGGGGAGAUCGGAAUUCCUGGUGUAGCGGUGAAAUGCGCAGAUAUCAGGAAGAACACCCGUGGCGAAGGCGGCUCUCUGGGACGGUACUGACGCUGAGACGCGAAAGCGUGGGGAGCGAACAGG